GAUGAAGAACGCAGCGAAAUGCGAUACGUAAUGCGAAUUGCAGAAUUCAGUGAAUCAUCGAGUCUUUGAACGCACAUUGCGCCCCCUGGUAUUCCGGGGGGCAUGCCUGUCCGAGCGUCAUUGCUGCCCUCAAGCACGGCUUGUGUGUUGGGCCUCCGCCCCCCGGCUCCCGGGGGGCGGGCCCGAAAGGCAGCGGCGGCACCGCGUCCGGUCCUCGAGCGUAUGGGGCUUCGUCACCCGCUCCGUAGGCCCGGCCGGCGCCCGCCGGCGACCCCCCUCAAUCUUUCCAGGUUGACCUCGGAUCAGGUAGGGAUACCCGCUGAACUUAAGCAUAUCAAUAAGCGGAGGA
Molecule: unclassified non-coding RNA, 349 nt
Filed under: soil metagenome
Description: partial contains 5.8S ribosomal RNA, internal transcribed spacer 2, and large subunit ribosomal RNA
Rfam family: 5.8S ribosomal RNA (bases 1-120)
Source: RNAcentral